RNAcentral lists this long non-coding RNA (223 nucleotides) under Olea europaea (common olive). RNAcentral describes it as "long non-coding RNA (OEUR_LNC012761)". Lineage: Eukaryota; Viridiplantae; Streptophyta; Magnoliopsida; Lamiales; Oleaceae. The record is from RNAcentral.
UUUUAUUCUCUAUAUUAUUGAGUAACUUUUGUAUUUUCUCCUCUCUAUUACUUUAACAAACUUGACAAUCUUUGCAAGUUAUAAAUAGUUAUUUCACCUCUCAUAUAAAAGAGAUGAUCUCCCAUUACUGUUCAUUUGUGGCACCUCUGUUUAACACGUAACCAGUUUGAAUUGUUCAUUAUCUUGAUACUUUCUUAGUAAAAAAUGAUUGAACCACCCAUUU